UGACUUCCUCAACGAAAAUUGGCAUUAAAAUGCCACUUUCCGUUGGACCUUGGAGCGUGUGCCAGUUUCUCCCUCAGAACACUGGCUCCUCUCAAACUCAAUCACGAAGCACCCGACGCGGUCUUUGACCGAAUGGGUUCGUCGGCAUUGAUAACUCGUUACAUGCCCGCAACCCGCCAACGUCGAGUCUUUCGAUCUCUUUGACAUAUAUAUCUC
This 216-nucleotide unclassified non-coding RNA is filed under the name uncultured Basidiomycota. RNAcentral's name for it is "sequence contains ITS2". Lineage: Eukaryota; Fungi; Basidiomycota. The record is from RNAcentral.